UACGUAGGGUGCGAGCGUUGUCCGGAAUUAUUGGGCGUAAAGGGCUCGUAGGCGGUUUGUCGCGUCGGGAGUGAAAUCCACUGGCUUAACUGGUGGCUUGCUUUCGAUACGGGCAGACUGGAGGUAUGCAGGGGAGAACGGAAUUCCUGGUGUAGCGGUGAAAUGCGUAGAGAUCAUGAGGAAGACCAGUGGCGAAGGCGGGUCUCUGGACAGUUCCUGACACUGAGACACGAAGGCCAGGGGAGCAAACGGG
Molecule: ribosomal RNA, 253 nt
Filed under: uncultured bacterium
Lineage: Bacteria
Description: partial 16S ribosomal RNA
Rfam family: Bacterial small subunit ribosomal RNA
Source: RNAcentral